GUCUAUGGCCAUACCACCUUGAACAUGCCCAAUCUCCUCUGAUCUUGGAAGCUAAGCAGGGUCAGGCCUGGUUAAUAUUUGGUUGAUGGAGGGU
RNAcentral lists this ribosomal RNA (94 nucleotides) under Erinaceus europaeus (western European hedgehog). The record is from RNAcentral. Lineage: Eukaryota; Metazoa; Chordata; Mammalia; Eulipotyphla; Erinaceidae.